GCCUUCGUGGUAUAGUGGUCAGCAUGCUCGGUGCAUAUUCAAGAGGUCCAUGGUUCGAUUCCUGGUGAAGGCA
This is a non-coding RNA of Stegodyphus mimosarum, 73 nucleotides long. The record is from Rfam. Lineage: Eukaryota; Metazoa; Arthropoda; Arachnida; Araneae; Eresidae.